CCUACGGGAGGCAGCAGUGGGGAAUCUUGCGCAAUGGGCGAAAGCCUGACGCAGCCAUGCCGCGUGAAUGAUGAAGGUCUUAGGAUUGUAAAAUUCUUUCACCGGGGACGAUAAUGACGGUACCCGGAGAAGAAGCCCCGGCUAACUUCGUGCCAGCAGCCGCGGUAAUACGAAGGGGGCUAGCGUUGCUCGGAAUUACUGGGCGUAAAGGGAGCGUAGGCGGAUAGUUUAGUCAGAGGUGAAAGCCCAGGGCUCAACCUUGGAAUUGCCUUUGAUACUGGCUAUCUUGAGUUUGGGAGAGGUGAGUGGAACUCCGAGUGUAGAGGUGAAAUUCGUAGAUAUUCGGAAGAACACCAGUGGCGAAGGCGACUCACUGGCCCAAUACUGACGCUGAGGCUCGAAAGCGUGGGGAGCAAACAGGAUUAGAUACCCUGGUAGUCCACGCCGUAAACGAUGAGUGCUAGUUGUCGGCAUGCAUGCAUGUCGGUGACGCAGCUAACGCAUUAAGCACUCCGCCUGGGGAGUACGGUCGCAAGAUUAAAACUCAAAAUGAAUUGACGG
This 561-nucleotide ribosomal RNA is filed under the name uncultured bacterium. Its description in RNAcentral is "bacterial SSU rRNA". It matches the Rfam family "Bacterial small subunit ribosomal RNA", at positions 338 to 916 of the family's 1533-position model. The record is from RNAcentral.